RNAcentral lists this unclassified non-coding RNA (379 nucleotides) under uncultured bacterium. RNAcentral describes it as "contains 16S-23S intergenic spacer region". The record is from RNAcentral.
UCUCGGCUUAUCACCGGCAGUCCCUCUAGAGUGCCCAACUGAAUGAUGGCAACUAGAGGCGAGGGUUGCGCUCGUUGCGGGACUUAACCCAACAUCUCACGACACGAGCUGACGACAACCAUGCACCACCUGUAAACCGGCCACAAGUGGUUGACACAUCUCUGCAUCAUUCCGGUUCAUGUCAAGUCUUGGUAAGGUUCUUCGCGUUGCAUCGAAUUAAUCCGCAUGCUCCGCCGCUUGUGCGGGCCCCCGUCAAUUCCUUUGAGUUUUAGCCUUGCGGCCGUACUCCCCAGGCGGGGUGCUUAAUGCGUUAGCUUCGGCACAGAGCGGGUCAAACGCCGCCCCACACCUAGCACCCAACGUUUACGGCUAGGACUAC